Molecule: long non-coding RNA, 1892 nt
Organism: Myotis daubentonii (Daubenton's bat)
Lineage: Eukaryota; Metazoa; Chordata; Mammalia; Chiroptera; Vespertilionidae
Exons: 3
Source: RefSeq, a predicted model, not a curated record
CAGUAAUAAUCAUGAAAUACAGCUAGUAAUAGUAAUAGCAUAGAAGAAGCACAGUGAAAAAGAUUUAUUAUUGAGCUUUGUACGUGUAUUCAUGCUAAUAAAAUGUAAUUUUAAAAGCAAGAUGCAAACUAAAAUACCUACUGCAGUAUAAUAAAAGAAAAAAGGUAAUGAAAUAGUACUCUUUAUUACAUUACUGUGCUUUUUGGAAAAAAGGAAAAUAAAUUAGUACUUGCAUAUAGGUCUGUCACCAGUGAUGAGUAAUAAAUUUCAGUAUUUGUUUUCAGUUGUAACUUUCGUAAACUUGUAAGUAAUUUUGUCAAAAAUUAAUAUUUGCAUAUUCAUGUUCAACAGGCAGUAUAAGAUAGGUCCAUCUAUCUUUGCUCGUGGUUGACCAAACAACAGUUUUUACUAAUUUUAAUUUAAAAUUUUUAUUUCAUAUGAAGUAAUAUGUAAAAUAAAGAUAAAUUGAGCAAAGAUUCCCAAAACUCCCAUUUCACAAUAAAUUCAAACAAUUGCAAUACUAUCCAUGUCUGUGUCUUAGGUAUUAAUUCCAGGAGCUUUCCAACUUGACACAGUUGAAAAUUCUCUAGUAAAAUAGAAAUGUCAUCAAACAUCUUAAUCAUUUUUCGUUAAAUCUCCCAAAGUUCUUGUUUUACAGAAAUCAGAGGAAAUGUCUGAAUAAUAGCAAACAUUAACGCUAUUUGACCCAUUCAUUGCUUUAUAUCAGGCAUCCUGUUCUUGGUGGUCAGGAUCAAGCCAUUCAAACACGGACCUUUGGAUUUCUCGUUCUAGGUAAGGAGUUGGUAGCACUACAGAGCUGGGCACACAACGUGGGCGUGAAUGGUUCCCAACUGUUGAGGACGUCCUGGAAGUGAGCUGCGUGGCUGAGUCUGCAUACUGCGUGCCUGAGCGAGCGGGAGUUCUGCAAUUAGCUUUCAUGUAGAAUGCGAGCUCUAACGGGAUCCUAGUGCUCAUGCAAUCACUGUCUCUCAGCAAAAUCGACUCAGCCCAGGAGACCUGCAGCCAAGAGCUCCAUCAUUGGACACCAUCCCUCUUUCGGAAGCCUCAGCACGUACCGCCACUGUGACAAGAAACUCGUCACUGGACUUGGGGUCCUCCUAACGGGCUUCUCUCCUUCCACUCAUGGCAGCCAGAGGAAACUGUUAAAAUGCAAAUAAGAUCUGGAAGCAGCCCAAGCGCCCCUCAGGAGGUGAGUGGAUAGAAAAGCGGUGGUGCAUGUACACAGUGGAAUCCGAUGCAGAGGUAAAAAGGAAGGAUCUCUGACCCGGCUGCAAUAGCGGGAUGUGCUCUAGGCAGUUAGGCCGACAGGAGCCGAGCAAAGACGCUGGGCCCGGUACAGCAGGUCACCAGGAUGGAACGCCCAGGUGCCUCGCCACGGACAGUCACUUGUACGGUGGGACCUUGGCUCCAGGGUGACUUUUCCUCCCCUAGCCCUUCGCUGCUCAUGCAGUUUGGAACCCUUGACCUUUCCUCCCUAGAGAUAACAUCUAUCCCUCGGUUGUAUUUCAGCUCCAGGCCCAGGUAAGCAAUAAACCCAGCCCUGGCUGACCCCAGGACCAGCUGCAUUGCAUGAUGACCCCCUGCGCUGGUGUCGGCCAAUCCAUCAGUGGAGACCACAGCCCUGAAAGGACACACCUGGAAAACUGCUGAAUAUUAAGAUCUUUCCCCUCAGGUCUCCCCUAAAAUCUCUACCCUGAAAACCCUCAGGAUGGAAGACCCAGAGGACCCAGGAUCCUGAAGCACCCACAGGUGUUACCUUUAGUUUCCUCACCCCCAUGCUCCACGGGCCCUUCCUUUACCUCUAUGACUUGUUUUCUAAGCCCAUUUCUUCUAGGACAGUGGUUCUCAACCUUGGCUGCACAUUAGAAUCA